UCCAGGAAAAGCCUCUAAGCAUCAGGUAACAUUAAAUCGUACCCCAAACCGACACAGGUGGUCAGGUAGAGAAUACUCAGGCGCUUGAGAGAACUCGGGUGAAGGAACUAGGCAAAAUGGUGCCGUAACUUCGGGAGAAGGCACGCUGGCAUUAGGUAAAGGGACUUGCUCCCGGCGCCGAAGCCAGUCGCAGAUACCAGCUGGCUGCAACUGUUUAAUAAAAACACAGCACUGUGCAAACACGAAAGUGGACGUAUACGGUGUGACGCCUGCCCGGUGCUGGAAGGUUAAUUGAUGGGGUCAGCCGCAAGGCGAAGCUCUUGAUCGAAGCCCCAGUAAACGGCGGCCGUAACUAUAACGGUCCUAAGGUAGCGAAAUUCCUUGUCGGGUAAGUUCCGACCUGCACGAAUGGCGUAAUGAUGGCCAGGCUGUCUCCACCCGAGACUCAGUGAAAUUGAACUCGCUGUGAAGAUGCAGUGUACCCGCGGCAAGACGGAAAGACCCCGUGAACCUUUACUAUAGCUUGACACUGAACAUUGAGCCUUGAUGUGUAGGAUAGGUGGGAGGCAUCGAAGUGUGGACGCCAGUCUGCAUGGAGCCAACCUUGAAAUACCACCCUUUAAUGUUUGAUGUUCUAACUCGGCCCCAUAAUCUGGGGUGAGGACAGUGUCUGGUGGGUAGUUUGACUGGGGCGGUCUCCUCCCAAAGAGUAACGGAGGAGCACGAAGGUUAGCUAAUCACGGUCGGACAUCGUGAGGUUAGUGCAAAGGCAUAAGCUAGCUUGACUGCGAGAGUGACGGCUCGAGCAGGUACGAAAGUAGGUCUUAGUGAUCCGGUGGUUCUGAAUGGAAGGGCCAUCGCUCAACGGAUAAAAGGUACUCCGGGGAUAACAGGCUGAUACCGCCCAAGAGUUCAUAUCGACGGCGGUGUUUGGCACCUCGAUGUCGGCUCAUCACAUCCUGGGGCUGAAGUAGGUCCCAAGGGUAUGGCUGUUCGCCAUUUAAAGUGGUACGCGAGCUGGGUUUAGAACGUCGUGAGACAGUUCGGUCCCUAUCUGCCGUGGGCGUUGGAAGAUUGAGAGGGGCUGCUCCUAGUACGAGAGGACCGGAGUGGACGAAUCACUGGUGUUCGGGUUGUCAUGCCAAUGGCAUUGCCCGGUAGCUAAAUUCGGAAGAGAUAACCGCUGAAAGCAUCUAAGCGGGAAACUUGCCUCGAGAUGAGUCUUCCCUGGGGCUUUAAGCCCCCUGAAGGAACGUUAAAGACUAUGACGUUGAUAGGCUGGGUGUGUAAGUGCAGCGAUGCAUUGAGCUAACCAGUACUAAUGAUCCGUGAGGCUUAACCU
RNAcentral lists this ribosomal RNA (1342 nucleotides) under Yersinia enterocolitica. Its description in RNAcentral is "partial 23S ribosomal RNA". It matches the Rfam family "Bacterial large subunit ribosomal RNA", at positions 1607 to 2925 of the family's 2925-position model. The record is from RNAcentral. Lineage: Bacteria; Pseudomonadati; Pseudomonadota; Gammaproteobacteria; Enterobacterales; Yersiniaceae.